GAAAUAUAUCAUAAUUAAACUUCUAAUUUAAUUUAUAGUGAUUUAACUCAUUAAUAUUUCU
This 61-nucleotide transfer RNA is filed under the name Protantigius superans. Its description in RNAcentral is "tRNA-Ser". Lineage: Eukaryota; Metazoa; Arthropoda; Insecta; Lepidoptera; Lycaenidae. The record is from RNAcentral.